AAAGGAGUAAUUCGGUAUAGGAUGGGCCCGCAUCUGAUCAGCUAGUUGGUGAGAUAACAGCCCACCAAGGCGACGAUCAGUAGCCGACCUGAGAGGGUGAUCGGCCACAUUGGGACUGAGACACGGCCCAAACUCCUACGGGAGGCAGCAGUGGGGAAUAUUGCACAAUGGGGGAAACCCUGAUGCAGCAACGCCGCGUGAAGGAUGAAGGUUUUCGGAUCGUAAACUUCUAUCAACAGGGAAGAAUAAUGACGGUACCUGAAUAAGAAGCCCCGGCUAACUACGUGCCGGCAGCCGCGGUCAUACGUAGGAUCCGAGCAUUAUCCGGAGUGACUGGGUGUAAAGAGUUGCGUAGGUGGAUGUUUAAGUAGAUAGUGAAAUCUGGUGGCUCAACCAUUCAGACUGUUAUCUAAACUGGACAUCUCGAGAGCGUCAGGGGUGACUGGAAUUUCUAGUGUAGGAGUGAAAUCCGUAAGAUAUUAGAAGGAACACCAAUAGCGUAGGCAGGUCACUGGGGCGUUUCUGACACUAAGGCACGAAAGCGUAGGUAGCAAACGGGAUUAGAUACCCCGGUAGUCUACGCCGUAAACGAUGGAUGCUAGCUGUGGGGGGUAUCGACCCCUUCCGUAGCGAAGCUAAUGCGUUAAGCAUCCCACCUGUGUAGUACGAUCGCAAGAUUAAAACAUAAAGGAAUUGACGGGGACCCGCACAAGCGGUGGAGCGUGAUCUUUAAUUCGAUGCUAAACGAUAAACCUUACCAAGGCUUGACAUCCAGGGAAGGCCUCCGAAAGGAGUCUGUGCCUUCGGGAACCCUGUGACAGGUGAUGCAUGGCCGUCGUCAGCUCGUGUCGUGAGAUGUUUGGUUAAGUCCAUCAACGAGCGCAACCCUUGUCAGUAGUUGUAUUUUUCUACUGAAACUGCCCCGGUAACGAGGAGGAAGGAGGGGAUGAUGUCAGGUCAGUAUUUCCCUUACGCCUUGGGCUAGAAUCGCGCUACAAUGGCUGGUACAAUGCGAAGCGAAGUCGCGAGAUGAAGCAAAUCGCACCAAAGCCAGUCCCAGUUCGGAUAGGAGGCUGAAACUCGCCUCCUUGAAGUCGGAAUCGCUAGUAAUCGCAAAUCAGCAUGUUGCGGUGAAUACGUUCCCGGGU
Molecule: ribosomal RNA, 1148 nt
Filed under: uncultured bacterium
Lineage: Bacteria
Description: bacterial SSU rRNA
Rfam family: Bacterial small subunit ribosomal RNA
Source: RNAcentral